GAAAGUGAAGGUUCAAUUUAUAUUUCAUUCCUUGUUUUUUUGGUUAAACAUAUUUAAUUCCUUUUUUUUGGUUAGACAUAUUUCAUUUCUUUUUUUAUCAAAUAUAUUUCUUUCCAUUAAUAAUCAAGACCAAAAAAGUUUGAUUGAUUACAUGUGAUGUAGAUUUUUAAUGACUGCAUUUAAUGGUAUAUUGAGGAACUUUUUUGAAAUAAUUUUAGACAACUAGGCUACGAAAUUGGUAGGUUUCGUGGCUUUGAGUUAUAAGUGCCACAAAGUUAGGCUCUUCCGCCAAAAAUUAGGAACAAUUUUUAAAACAAUUUCAUUAGGCUGCGAAAUUGAUAGGGUUUCGUCGUGUUAAGUGCCGAAAAUUUAAGCAGUCAAAACUUCCGCCCAAAAAUUUAGGACAAUUUUCAAAACUAUUUCAUUUUAAAAUUAGAAGUCUCAUGUUCUCUCUCUCUCUCUCUCUCUCUCUCUGACACGACCCACCCCAAAUUUCACCCUGAAACCCAGAGUAAGUCGUGCAGGGACCACCUCCAAGGAAAAUUUACCGAAAAAUCGGCAUAACCUCCCUUGAAAAUAGACAACCCUUCCUAAUAAUACAUGCAAACACUUCUGAAAAAUUUAAAUCCAACCUUAAACUCCUGGAGCCUCCGUGCUCCCCAAAUCACAACACCACCCAAAUUAUUUACUAAUCUAAACAAAUCUCAUAUCCAACCAUUUAUAUGUUCAGAGCAACUCUAACAAGAAGAAAGGAAACAUAAUAAAUUAACAAGCGGAAGCUAUAUGAUGACUAUGUCUCAUCUCCAUAUACGCCCGACCUCAACUAUGCAAUCCUGCAAACUAGGCAUUUUUAAAACGAAGAGCCCAGGGGAAAACAUUUGAAACACAUUAGAGUGAGUGGACAAAAAUAAAUUAACGAAUAAAAUAUUUAUGUUUCCCCAAAUCAAUUUCCAAGGAAAAUCAAAUGCAUGCUGCAAGCGAUAAAACUUUUAUCUCAUAAAUGUCGAGCCUCUCAGGCUCUAUAAUAUAUGUAUGUAUUUACACACGUCCAUACUCCCUAUAUAAAUUCAUGGGUCUAUAUAGGGCUACUACGUUCAUGUCCAAUGUUCACGUCACGCCUUAAUGCGGUGCUAUACUACGCCAUUAAGGUGGACAGACGAGUGUAUAAAUAUGUGCCCAUACCCCCUAUAUUAAUUAAACACUCAUAUAGGGCUACUACGCUCGCGUCCAAUGCUCACGUCACACCAUAAUGCGGCUAUAUGCUACGCCAUUAAGGUGGACAGACACAUAGGGCUAGCUAGCAUUUUUAUACAUACUCUCCUCAUAAAUACAUAUUUAUAUUCACCGAAAAUCCCAUUUUCGGUAACUCUCCAAGAAAAAUAAAACUGUCAAAAUAAAAUGACGUCAAAAUGCUCCACAACAUUAAUUGUUCAUCUAUGAACUAUAACAUGCAUUUUAUUUAAAACAAAAGUCCACUCACAACUCUAGGCAUAAGCCCGACGAAAUCCAAAUCGCCACUCCAGAGAGGUUUCCUCGAACCCUGGCACAAAUAUAAAAUUAAUUUCCCAACUAAAACUCCAAUAUUUAAACAAAAUAGGCAAAAUUAACCGAGAGCCAUAACUACGCUCAUCAUUGCCUAACUUCGAUAUUCUUAAAUCGAAACGAUCCGAACUUAAAUAUCAUACUCGGCAGCCGUAAUUACAACCUCCUCAAAAAUACGACUUAAAUCCUACGGCCGGAUUCUACAUUAAUUAACCGCCAAAAAUACCACACUUCGGAAAUUCAUAAACCUAUCCAAAACUCAUCCAAAAAUUCCAUAACUCACUUCAACAAACUCCCCU
Molecule: long non-coding RNA, 1841 nt
Filed under: Fragaria vesca (wild strawberry)
Lineage: Eukaryota; Viridiplantae; Streptophyta; Magnoliopsida; Rosales; Rosaceae
Description: long non-coding RNA (FVES_LNC001507)
Source: RNAcentral